UACGUAGGGUGCGAGCGUUGUCCGGAAUUAUUGGGCGUAAAGAGCUCGUAGGCGGUGUGUCGCGUCGGCCGUGAAAACCUGCAGCUUAACUGUGGGCUUGCGGUCGAUACGGGCAUCACUGGAGUUCGGCAGGGGAGACUGGAAUUCCUGGUGUAGCGGUGAAAUGCGCAGAUAUCAGGAGGAACACCGGUGGCGAAGGCGGGUCUCUGGGCCGAGAUUGACGCUGAUGCGCGAAAGCCAGGGGAGCAAACGGG
RNAcentral lists this ribosomal RNA (254 nucleotides) under uncultured bacterium. RNAcentral's name for it is "partial 16S ribosomal RNA". It matches the Rfam family "Bacterial small subunit ribosomal RNA", at positions 524 to 776 of the family's 1533-position model. The record is from RNAcentral.